GCCUGGUUAGCUCAGUUGGUAGAGCAUGGGAUUAUUAAUCCUUGGUGGUGGGUUCGAGCCCCACACCAGGCG
Molecule: non-coding RNA, 72 nt
Organism: Asterias rubens (European starfish)
Lineage: Eukaryota; Metazoa; Echinodermata; Asteroidea; Forcipulatida; Asteriidae
Source: the annotation of a RefSeq genome assembly